RNAcentral lists this ribosomal RNA (769 nucleotides) under uncultured Actinomycetes bacterium. Its description in RNAcentral is "bacterial SSU rRNA". It matches the Rfam family "Bacterial small subunit ribosomal RNA", at positions 8 to 795 of the family's 1533-position model. Lineage: Bacteria; Bacillati; Actinomycetota; Actinomycetes. The record is from RNAcentral.
AGAGUUUGAUUAUGGCUCAGGAUGAACGCUGGCGGCGUGCUUAACACAUGCAAGUCGAACGAGGUCCAACCUUCGGGUGAAGACCGAGUGGCGAACGGGUGAGUAACACGUGGGGAACCUGCCCUUCUCUCUGGGAUAACCCCGGGAAACCGAAGCUAAUACCGGAUACUCCUUGCGGACCGCAUGGUCUGCUCGGGAAAGCUCCGGCGGAGAAGGAUGGCCCCGCGGCCCAUUAGCUUGUUGGUGGGGUAACGGCCCACCAAGGCGACGAUGGGUAGCCGAGCUGAGAGGCUGAUCGGCCACACUGGGACUGAGACACGGCCCAGACUCCUACGGGAGGCAGCAGUGGGGAAUCUUGCGCAAUGGGCGAAAGCCUGACGCAGCAACGCCGCGUGCGGGAUGAAGGCUCUCGGGUCGUAAACCGCUUUCAGCAGGGAUGAAAAUGACAGUACCUGCAGAAGAAGCCCCGGCUAAAUACGUGCCAGCAGCCGCGGUAAUACGUAUGGGGCAAGCGUUAUCCGGGUUCAUUGGGCGUAAAGCGCGCGUAGGCGGCUUGUUAAGUCAGGCGUGAAAUCCGGGGGCUCAACUCGCGGCUUGCGUCUGAAACUGGCAGGCUUGAGUCUGGUAGAGGAAAGUGGAAUUCCUGGUGUAGCGGUGAAAUGCGCAGAUAUCAGGAGGAACACCAGUGGCGAAGGCGGCUUUCUGGGCCACGACUGACGCUGAGGCGCGAAAGCUAGGGGAGCGAACAGGAUUAGAUACCCUGGUAGUC